AGGAGCUAAGCAAAAGCCGAGUGUCGUUCGUCGACUCUCGGAAUCAUUCGGUUCGGCAUGGCUCGUCGCCAUCGAGCGUCGAGAGUCGAAACAGAUGUCAUCAUUCAUAACCUGCCAAGUGUCAAAAGUUUUUACACUAUUGCAUUAUUAAUUAUAUUUAUAUCAGCAAGAUAUUUUCAAUUUAUACUCUUUAUGUAGGGUUUAAUAACAAAUUGCAGCCAGUGUUGUAAAGUGUUGAUCGAUCUUGACUAUAAGAUCCAUACAACCAAAGUGGUUUCAAUUUAAGCUUUUUAUGUAGAGCUUGUGGAAAUGAAGGGGGCCCACAGGAUUGGAGAUUAACAAAUUGCUGCCAGUAAAAUAAAAUGUAGAUCAACUUUGAUUAUAAGAUUCAUACCACCAAAGUGUUUUGAAUUUAGACUUUUUAUGCAGAGCUUAUACAAAUGAAGGGAACCACAGGCUUGAAGGUUAUUCGUUAACAAAUUGCAGCAACUGUUGUAAAAUGUUUAUCCAUUUUCAUUACAAGGUAAGUUGCAAAAUCUGAAUUGUCAGAUACCUUCAUUCAUACAGAAUAGAUCCAUACCACUAAAGUGUUUUUAAUUUAGACUUUUUAUGUAGAGCGUAUAGAAAUGGAGUCAUUUUCACAUUUCGUGCAGCAAGAAAAAAAAUUGCAGGUAUUUAUAAUUAUUUAUAAAUUGAACGAAUAAAUGUUUAUAAUUAAUAAAUUAUAUGAAAUAUAUAUGUAUAUAUUCGCUUUUGUUAUCCCUUCUCGCUUUACUUUACUUUAUUCAAUUAAAAAAGAAAGUUUACAGAAAUAUCAAUUUUAAUUUUACAAAUUUAAAAUAGAUUCUAUAUAAUAAAUGAUUUGUAAAAAGAAGUGAGAUCCGAUAAAAAAAACUUUAAAAAAGUAAAAAAAUUACGCCGAGUACAUAAAAAAGUGGAGCACUCAAGGAGUUAUCAUUGAAAAAUAGAAGAUCCCCAUAAAAAACUACAAGAAAAUAGAAAAAUAUAUGAAAUCGAAAUGAACUGCCAGUACAUGGAGAUGCUUUCCAGCACAGUGUAAUGGCGACACUGGGUAACACAAUGUAAAAUUCAGUACCUUCCAUCUAUGCGCAGCUAAAAUGCUGUGUUCAACAGUGCGAACGUUCAGAUCCUAAUGACAAUUCAUGUAAAGUGACUGCUCCGCACUUUGGCGGUGAAAUGAAGAAGCUAAAUAGCGUAUCAACCACAAACUGAGACUGUUUAAAAAUUUGCCUAGAUGUCCGUGGCCUGGAAGUCAAAUGCUUGACGUGGCCAGGCAAGGUCAAGGUUUUGAUGAAUAAGAAUUAUUUUAAAAUGUAAAAUAAUGAAAAUGUACUCAUAUUGUCAGCGUUUUAAACUGAGAAAUUAUCUGAAAGCCUGUG
Molecule: long non-coding RNA, 1400 nt
Organism: Hylaeus volcanicus
Lineage: Eukaryota; Metazoa; Arthropoda; Insecta; Hymenoptera; Colletidae
Exons: 3
Source: RefSeq, a predicted model, not a curated record